CGGGACGGGGCCCCCACGGGAACGGGGUCCCACGGAACUUUUUGACAUCCCUAGUUUUAAACUUCAUUCUCCAUACAAAAUAACUAAAAAAUAAUAAUAAAUUCAUUUUGAAAUUCUAUUUUGACACUCUUUUACAUGUUCUGUUUUAACACUAAUUUACAUAGAUUCUCUGAUAUUUUACAAAACUACCCCUUCCAAGUUACAACGACCGCUCAUUACAUGCAUUCACUCUAGGAAGCUUAUCUGCUUAUGACCAUUUACAUAUGACAUGCCUAAAAAUAUCUCCAUCAUCAGAGUUUUCCGUCUAUCACAAGAACUUAUGAUUUCAAAUAUCAAAGAUUCAAAGCCACAACAACAUGAUCUAAGUUUUCUGCAAUAAUCAAAGAAUUCAAUCACUAUAAUCCGAUGUUUGCCCGUUUCAAGUAAAACAUAGAUUUUCUUACUAAUGUUUAAACAAACCUUUUGAAAUAUUCCCUUGAAUUACAAAAAGAAUGUUUAAAGAAAGACUAUAAUUACAUUCAACACAUCAUUAUCAUAAAAUGAAAAGCACCUGAACCAUCUUUGUUGUAGGAGUAACACAUAACUAAAACUGGAAAACAGUAAAUAUAGACCGGUAAAAUUGGAAAAUAUAGUAAAAAUAUCUAAAACUGGAAAAAUGGUAAAAACAUGUGAAAUUGGAAAAUCUGAAAGUAGGUUGUUAUUUUAACAUAUUUUCUAACUUCGAAAAUAUAUCAAAAUAGCAUACUACUUUGAAAACUCUGAAUAUAGAAAUUUUUUUUUCAUUUUUGUCAUUUAUUUUCAAAAUUUUAGAAAAGUGGCAAUCUGGUCAUUUUUUCCGGAUUCACAUACCUAUGACAAUGUUGUAAUGAAAAUAAAUAAAAAUUAGAUGCCACAGUUCAAUGAAAUGUCAUGCAUUCAGCGUUAAUCUUUUAAUCCAUGCUUUUAUUGUCAUCCAUAAAUUAAAAUUCUAAGAAAAAAAUGAAAAUAAAAUAAAAGCAUUGUACUAUUUAAAUACAAUGGUAUAAUUUCUCUUUAAAAAAAAUACAAUGGUAUAAUAAAAAAAUAUUUAAAAAAUUAAAAAAUUUCCUUAAAUGGUUAAGUUGAAAAAGGAACAAUUGUAUGCUUUUGUACCUACAAUUCCAAAAUAAAAAUGACCAAAAUACAAAUUUAUUUAUGUUUUAUCUGAUUGAAAUGAAAAGGAAAUGACUAAAACAGUCUUUUUGACCAAAAUGACAAAAAUUGACUUGAAUGGUAAAAAUGAUCAAAUUUGUCCAAAUACAUUAUUAUGUAUGGUGAAGGUGAGUUUAAAAUGAUAAGAAUAGAAACCACAUAUGUUUUACCUAAUUGAAAUAAGCAAAAUGACCAAAAUGACAAUUUUAACAAAAAUAGAAUUAGCAUGUCAAAGUAACCAAAAUGGUCUAAAUGCGUUCUUUUGUAUAUGUAAUUGAGGUUUAAAAUGACCAAAGCACAAAUUUUCUUAUGGUUAACUUGAUUGAAAUGACCGAAAUGGUUUAAUUGGUAUACUUGACAAAAAUAAACUUGAGCAGUUAAAAUGAGCAUAACAAUCGACAUGUGUUGUGUUAGUAUAAUGUAAAGUUUAAAAUGACCAAAAUACUAAUUUAAACUUUUUGACUAAUUGAAAUGAGCAAAAUGAGGGUUUUAAAGAAAAUGACAAAAAUAACAAAAAUAGUCUUAUAUGUUCAACUUGACUUAAGGACCAACUGUAUUCUUUUUUGCCUGCAUUUCCAGAUUAAAAAUGAACAAAAUACUAACUUUUUUAUAUUAUCUGAUUGAAAUUAAAAAAAAAAUGACCAAAAUGACAAAAAAAAAAUAUACUUAAAUGGUCAAAAUUGAUCAAAACAGUUAGUAGGUUGUUAUUUUAACAGAUUUUCUAACUUCGAAAAUAUAUCAAAAUAGCAUACUACUUUGAAAACUCUAAAAAUAGCAUUUUUCAUUUUGGUCACUUAUUUUAAAAAAGAUAAAAAAAAGUGGCAAUUUGGUCAUUUUUUCCAGAUUACAAAAAAAGUGGCAGUUAGAUUUACUUUAGAUAACAUAAAUGUGGCAUUUUGGUUAUUUUUUCCAGAAAACAUAUAAGUGGUAAUUUGGUGAUUUUCUAAAGAAUAGAAAAGUGGCAAUUUGGAUAAUUUGGUGAUUUUCCACGGACGAUUUUUUAGAUUUUGAUAGCCAUUUUGGUCAUUUUAUCAGAAAAUCAGUAAACGAAAAAUAGAGUCACAAAAAACUAAUUUUAAAAGUCCAAAUCAAGUGAAAUAUAUAAUGCUUCAAAAAAUUUGAAAUAUAUAAUGCACCAAAAAUCUGUAAUCUGAAAUUGUAAGAAACCAAAAGAUUAAUGAGAAUUACAAAGCUAAAAAUACCAUUUUCUAUGGGUUUUUGAUAUUUAUCUCAAGCACACAUAUUUGGAUGCAACACAUCUAAUUGAUGUAACUGAGGAUUAAAAGAGAUGGCAGGACCAUACCUUAUCCAAUAUUGUUUCGCUGGUAAGGUGAACAUGGAUCAGAACGUGUCUGCCUUCACAUCAAUCAACAGACUACGGGACCAAACCUAGAAAUAUGCAUAAUUGCAGAUAGAAAAUUAAGAAAAAAAAGCAUAAAAUUGAACAUUGUCUCAGUUGUAGACAGAAAAACCUAAAUCUGCCAAGUUUUCUCUAGACCACACCCAUAAUCGAAACCCAUAACAAAAAAAAACUUGAUUAUCAUAUUUACACAUGCAGCUAAACAAAAACAAAAUCGAAAGAAUUUCAUCACAAUGAUAAUGGGAUUAUGGGGAACGGAUGAAACAAUGACAGGAAAAAGGAACGGAUGAAAGUUAGGGCUACAGAAUCUGGAAAUGCAUGUAAGUAAUUACCUGAUUAGAUUAAAUAAAAAACCGAGAUCGAUAGAAGAUGAAUAAGAAACCAAUAAAAUUGGAUGAGAGCAUACAAUAUCAGGGAGUGAAAACAGACAGAAUCGGAAGACCAACCAAAUCGGACACAACUUUCUCUCUUUUAACCUAGAAUGUUAUCACAUAAAAUAUACAACAUAAUAUUUAGAAAAACAGAAAUAACAUCACUCUCAAUGUAUGAUAAUUUUAAUACAUGAAGCCACAAAUAAGCACACCUUACCAUGUUCAUCUAUACUAUUAAACGAAACCCAAUGGAGUGAAGAGCAGCAUUCCUGUGAAAAAUUCCAACAUCCAAAGUGGUUUCCAACUCAGAAAGACGUGAUAAAACCUACAAUAGGAUAAGUUCAGAAAAUAGUUUUGAACUUCACUUUGCCCUUUAAAGAACAUAAAAAUGAAAUUGUAAUUGAUAAAGAAAUUAGGGUUUUGAAAAUCUUAUCUACAUAAAGAACUCAAUCUCCUAAUCGAGCUUCAACAUAUUUCAUCUGCAUCUGAAGUAGAACACACAGGAUCGAAAAUCGUUGAUGGUCGACGCGGUGCCCCUCAAGAAUUCCUGGGGUUACGCAUAUGAUCGAUUCCAUAUCAGCAGAAGUAGAACGCAUAGGAUCGAUUCCAUGUAUACAUGAAAUCAAUGGGGUUACGCAUAUCGAAGGGGUUAGGGUUCAUAUCUAUUGAGUUUCAUGGGGAGCUGAUUGUGUAGAGAGAAAACAUAAGAAUGAAAUUAGGAAUGAAUCGUAAGAAGGAAGUUUUAUUGGGGGCGCGUGUAUUUUUUUGGAUGAUGUCAGCAAAAUGAUC
RNAcentral lists this long non-coding RNA (3690 nucleotides) under Lactuca sativa (garden lettuce). Its description in RNAcentral is "long non-coding RNA (LSAT_LNC004749)". Lineage: Eukaryota; Viridiplantae; Streptophyta; Magnoliopsida; Asterales; Asteraceae. The record is from RNAcentral.